CAGCCGCCGCGGUAAUACAGAGGGUGCGAGCGUUAAUCGGAUUUACUGGGCGUAAAGCGUGCGUAGGCGGCUUUUUAAGUCGGAUGUGAAAUCCCUGAGCUUAACUUAGGAAUUGCAUUCGAUACUGGGAAGCUAGAGUAUGGGAGAGGAUGGUAAAAUUCCAGGUGUAGCGGUGAAAUGCGUAGAGAUCUGGAGGAAUACCGAUGGCGAAGGCAGCCAUCUGGCCUAAUACUGACGCUGAGGUACGAAAGCAUGGGGAGCAAACAGGAUUAGAUACCCGCGUAGUCCCUGUCUCUUAUAC
Molecule: ribosomal RNA, 301 nt
Filed under: uncultured bacterium
Lineage: Bacteria
Description: partial 16S ribosomal RNA
Rfam family: Bacterial small subunit ribosomal RNA
Source: RNAcentral